Molecule: ribosomal RNA, 221 nt
Filed under: Enterococcus faecium
Lineage: Bacteria; Bacillati; Bacillota; Bacilli; Lactobacillales; Enterococcaceae
Description: partial 16S ribosomal RNA
Rfam family: Bacterial small subunit ribosomal RNA
Source: RNAcentral
CUCUAGCAAGACUGCCGGUGACAAACCGGAGGAAGGUGGGGAUGACGUCAAAUCAUCAUGCCCCUUAUGACCUGGGCUACACACGUGCUACAAUGGGAAGUACAACGAGUUGCGAAGUCGCGAGGCUAAGCUAAUCUCUUAAAGCUUCUCUCAGUUCGGAUUGCAGGCUGCAACUCGCCUGCAUGAAGCCGGAAUCGCUAGUAAUCGCGGAUCAGCACGCC